GAAGGCAGAUCACUAACAAUGUACUGACGCUCAUGGACGAAGGCGUGGGAGCGAACAGGANUAGAUACCCUGGUAGUCCACGCCGUAAACGAUGGAUACUAACUGUUCGACCUUUGGUUGAGUGGUUAAGCGAAAGUGAUAAGUAUCCCACCUGGGGAGUACGCUCGCAAGAGUGAUACUCAAAGGAAUUGACGGGGGCCCGCACAAGCGGUGGAGCAUGUGGUUUAAUUCGAUGAUACGCGAGGAACCUUACCAGGGCUUAAAUGUAGUGAGACAGGUAUAGAAAUAUACCCUUCUUCGGACUCAUUACAAGGUGCUGCAUGGUUGUCGUCAGCUCGUGCCGUGAGGUGUCAGGUUAAGUCCUAUAACGAGCGCAACCCCUAUCGUUAGUUGCCAGCGGGUCAUGCCGGGAACUCUAGCGAAACUGCCGGUGCAAACCGAGAGGAAGGUGGGGAUGACGUCAAAUCAUCACGGCCCUUACGUCCUGGGCUACACACGUGCUACAAUGGCCGGUACAGAGAGCAGCCACUACGCGAGUAGGAGCGAAUCUAUAAAACCGGUCUCAGUUCGGAUCGCAGUCUGCAACUCGACUGCGUGAAGCUGGAAUCGCUAGUAAUCGCAUAUCAGCCAUGAU
Molecule: ribosomal RNA, 634 nt
Filed under: uncultured bacterium
Lineage: Bacteria
Description: bacterial SSU rRNA
Rfam family: Bacterial small subunit ribosomal RNA
Source: RNAcentral